RNAcentral lists this ribosomal RNA (497 nucleotides) under uncultured bacterium. RNAcentral's name for it is "partial 16S ribosomal RNA". It matches the Rfam family "Bacterial small subunit ribosomal RNA", at positions 28 to 507 of the family's 1533-position model. The record is from RNAcentral.
GAUGAACGCUGGCGGCGUGCCUAAUACAUGCCAGUCGAGCGAACAGACGAGGAGCUUGCUCCUCUGACGUUAGCGGCGGACGGGUGAGUAACACGUGGAUAACCUACCUAUAAGACUGGGAUAACUUCGGGAAACCGGAGCUAAUACCGGAUAAUAUAUUGAACCGCAUGGUUCAAUAGUGAAAGACGGUUUUGCUGUCACUUAUAGAUGGAUCCGCGCCGCAUUAGCUAGUUGGUAAGGUAACGGCUUACCAAGGCAACGAUGCGUAGCCGACCUGAGAGGGUGAUCGGCCACACUGGAACUGAGACACGGUCCAGACUCCUACGGGAGGCAGCAGUAGGGAAUCUUCCGCAAUGGGCGAAAGCCUGACGGAGCAACGCCGCGUGAGUGAUGAAGGUCUUCGGAUCGUAAAACUCUGUUAUUAGGGAAGAACAAAUGUGUAAGUAACUAUGCACGUCUUGACGGCACCUAAUCAGAAAGCCACGGCUAACUACGUG